Molecule: ribosomal RNA, 483 nt
Filed under: uncultured bacterium
Lineage: Bacteria
Description: partial 16S ribosomal RNA
Rfam family: Bacterial small subunit ribosomal RNA
Source: RNAcentral
AUUGAACGCUGGCGGCAGGCCUAACACAUGCAAGUCGAGCGGAUGAAGGGAGCUUGCUCCUGGAUUCAGCGGCGGACGGGUGAGUAAUGCCUAGGAAUCUGCCUGGUAGUGGGGGAUAACGUCCGGAAACGGGCGCUAAUACCGCAUACGUCCUGAGGGAGAAAGUGGGGAUCUUCGGACCUCACGCCUUCAGAUGAGCCUAGGUCGGAUUAGCGAGUUGGUGGGGUAAAGGCCUACCAAGGCGACGAUCCGUAACUGGUCUGAGAGGAUGAUCAGUCACACUGGAACUGAGACACGGUACAGACUCCUACGGGAGGCAGCAGUGGGGAAUAUUGGACAAAGGGCGAAAGCCUGAUCCAGCCAUGCCGCGUGUGUGAAGAAGGUCUUCGGAUUGUAAAGCACUUUAAGUUGGGAGGAAGGGCAGUAAGUUAAUACCUUGCUGUUUUGACGUUACCAACAGAAUAAGCACCGGCUAACUUCGUG